This 288-nucleotide ribosomal RNA is filed under the name uncultured bacterium. RNAcentral describes it as "partial 16S ribosomal RNA". The record is from RNAcentral.
UAUUACCGCGGCUGCUGGGUGAUGGUUUGCAGAAGCGCUUUCUGGAGCCGUUUGUCGAGCGGGUGUUCGGUGAUUAUCCCGAGUUGGAUUACCUUGCCGCCCUGCGCAAGGACAGCCUGCCGGCCAAUAUCCACGUGCAGCAGUUCUUCAUGCAGCCCGGCAGCCUGUUGCACAGCGCCCAGGCCCAGCAGGACUACGUCAGCAGCAACUACAGCCAUGCCGCACGCGAUAUCAACGCCGCCGGCCUGAACCUGGUUGCGCAAUUGGUGGCCAGCAGCCGCGGUAAUA